AAAAUGAAUACAGCUAAGUACAUCCAAAUCCUUGAUGAAAACCUGCUCCAGAGCGCUCAAGACCUUCGACUGGGGCGACACUUCAUCUUCCAGCAUGACAAUGACCCUAAGCACAUGGCCAAGAAGACAAAGGAGUGGCUUCAGGACAAGUCUCUGAAUGUCCUUGAGUGGCCCAGCCAGAGCCCAGACUUGAACCCGAUUGAACAUCUUUGGAAAGACCUGAAAGUAGCUGUGCACCGACGCUGCCCAUCCAACCUCACUGAGCUUGAGAGGAUGUGCAAGGAAGAAUGGGAAAAACUCCCCAAAUCCAGGUGUGCCAAGCUUGUUGCAUCAUACACAAGAAGACUGGAGGCUGUAAUCGCUGCCAAAGGUGCUUCGACCAAGUAUUGAGUAAAGGGUGUGAAUACUUAUGUAUAUGCAACAUUUGAGUGUUCUUAUUUUUAAUAAAUUUGCAAAAUGUUCUAAAAAAAGUUUUUCGCUUUGUCAUUAUGGGGUAUUUUGUGUAGAAUUUUU
Molecule: non-coding RNA, 513 nt
Organism: Xyrichtys novacula (pearly razorfish)
Lineage: Eukaryota; Metazoa; Chordata; Actinopteri; Labriformes; Labridae
Source: the annotation of a GenBank genome assembly